GAAGCGCGAAAUGUAGUGUGAAUCGCAGAACAUUGUGAAUCAUCGAAUCUUUGAACGCACAUUGCGCCUCUCCUAACACGGGAGGCAUGCCUGUCUGAGCUUCAUUUAAAACCAUUGAUCCUGAUGGGAUCAGUGUUGGGCCUCGCCCGUGGGCGUCGCCUGAAAGUCAUCUGUCUUAAUGAGCGGACGAGAUCCUCUGGGACUGACCGCCUGGGACCAUAAACCUCUGACUUGAACUCAGAUCAGGUAGGACUACCGCCUGAACUUAA
RNAcentral lists this unclassified non-coding RNA (269 nucleotides) under uncultured Archaeorhizomycetes. RNAcentral describes it as "sequence contains ITS1". The stretch from base 1 to 104 matches the Rfam family "5.8S ribosomal RNA", at positions 50 to 154 of the family's 154-position model. The record is from RNAcentral. Lineage: Eukaryota; Fungi; Ascomycota; Archaeorhizomycetes.